Molecule: long non-coding RNA, 310 nt
Filed under: Physcomitrium patens
Lineage: Eukaryota; Viridiplantae; Streptophyta; Bryopsida; Funariales; Funariaceae
Description: long non-coding RNA (PPAT_LNC014888)
Source: RNAcentral
AUAAAAUAAAGUUUCUUAAAUCCACUCUCUUUAAAUUAAUCUAUUAAUCAUUCUAACAUAGAUCUAGAUUUAUUAAAAUAUAAUAUAUUUUAACUAAUUUUUACAUAUUAUAAGCUUUUAUAGUACAACAACAGAAAAUACAUAAUGAGAUCCAUAAUCACUUGCUCCCAACAUGCGAUAAGUAGUAGAAAUGGCUGUGAUAGCCUAAGAAAUGUUAUAUUGUUAUUUUAUUAUAGAAGCAUGAUUCACAAGAACACACAUAUGAUCACACAUCACAAUCUAAAUCUAUCCAAAAUCAUGUCCUGGAGAU